AUUGUCCCCAGAGGCAUUGCAGGCAUGGCUGCCAUGUCACAUGUGUGUCAGUAGGUGGCAGAGAAAGGAGAGGGAAUGUCUAUACUCAGUGUUCUGACCUAUGAACAUCAGAAUGAUUAGUAGCCUAACAUU
Small nucleolar RNA from Mastomys coucha (southern multimammate mouse), 132 nucleotides. RefSeq annotates it as small nucleolar RNA SNORA17. The transcript has a single exon. The record is from RefSeq and is a predicted model, not a curated record. NCBI's taxonomy places the organism in Eukaryota, Metazoa, Chordata, Mammalia, Rodentia, Muridae.